Molecule: ribosomal RNA, 433 nt
Filed under: uncultured bacterium
Lineage: Bacteria
Description: bacterial SSU rRNA
Rfam family: Bacterial small subunit ribosomal RNA
Source: RNAcentral
AACGCGAAGAACCUUACCAAGGCUUGACAUAUACCGAAAACUGGCAGAGAUGUCAGGUCCGCAAGGGCGGUAUACAGGUGGUGCAUGGUUGUCGUCAGCUCGUGUCGUGAGAUGUUGGGUUAAGUCCCGCAACGAGCGCAACCCUCGUCCUAUGCUGCCAGCGGGUAAUGCCGGGGACUCAUAGGAGACUGCCGGGGUCAACUCGGAGGAAGGUGGGGAUGAGGUCAAAUCAUCAUGCCCCUUAUGUCUUGGGCUGCACACAUGCUACAAUGGUCGGUACAAAGGGCUGCGAUACCGUAAGGUGGAGCGAAUCCCAAAAAGCCGGCCUCAGUUCGGAUUGGGGUCUGCAACUCGACCCCAUGAAGUCGGAGUCGCUAGUAAUCGCAGAUCAGCAACGCUGCGGUGAAUACGUUCCCGGGUCUUGUACACACCG